This is a long non-coding RNA of Glycine soja, 2699 nucleotides long. RefSeq lists it as uncharacterized. Lineage: Eukaryota; Viridiplantae; Streptophyta; Magnoliopsida; Fabales; Fabaceae. The transcript has 10 exons. The record is from RefSeq and is a predicted model, not a curated record.
UUGCUUUUUAAUACUGGCUUUCACCCUCCCCUAGCUUUUGUUUGUGUUUUUGCUUUGCCCCUUCUCUUUCUUCAGUUCUUCUUCCUUUUCACUCUCCUCUCUCUAAAUGCUAAAUUGAACCAAAGCUUGCAACUUGGUAAAGACAAAAUCACUUGCAAAAAUGAGGGGUCCUUUGGGUGCAAUAAUAGGAAGGUACCCAUUAAGUGAGUGUUCGAGGAAACCGACGAAACCAAUUGCAGUACACAUGAAAACCUUGGAGAAUUCUAAAAUACAAAUAAAAAAUCAGAAAAAUAAGGAUCCACCACUCAGAGAUUUGAAUUGAAGUGGAAGGGAGGAAGGAGAACUGGGAUUCAACGCUUCACGAGGUUGUAGAUCUGGUGGAAUUUGCGUAGAUUUGGUAUGUUCUUAGAUGUGGUUUAAUGUUGAUGACUCAAAUGGUUUCCCUGAAUUAGGGAAGAAUUACAGCUAUAUAAUAAUUGCUCGGCUCUUGCUGUAUGGAAGAGUGAGUUUUUAAUUUCUGAAAUUGGAGGCUCUAUGCCUUGGAUUAGGAGGAGACAUCUCUAUAGCUUGGAGUUGAAGCUCAUGAUCAUGAUCUUACAACCUCCUAUUGAUUUGAUUGAAACAAAUAUAUAAUUCUAUAUUAUCUUAGGUUUUUUGGUGUGUUAUCAUGAUGCAUGUGUGCCCCAGAUGAUAAAUCCUCUUUUGACAUGCCUCUUCCCAUUGUCUGCAGGAUUAUUUUUAGUGCUCAUAGUUAUGCAUUUUCUGAUCAUGUUCAUUAGGACAUUUAUUGGUUGUAGGUUAUGUGUUCGAUCAAAUGUCAAGAUGAUAUUUUUGGGUAUGUUUUCUUAUUUCUUAUUUUAAUUUUAAAUUUGUGGCACUUUUAAAAUUAUUUAUUUUUCACAUGAGAUAUAUUUUCAUUCCAGCAUUUUAAUAGAUUUGUAUUUAGAAUUGUAUAUUUAUAUAUGUGUGUGUGUGUGUGUGUGUGUGUGUGUGUGUGUGUGUGUGUGUGUGUGUGUGUGUGUGUGUGUGUGUGUGUGUGUGUGUGUGUGUGUGUGUGUGUGUGUGUGUGUGUGUGUGUUUGGUAUGUUUAAAAGGAUAGCAGGGAAGAUCUCCCCAAAUGACACCCGAAAAUGCAGAACAAUCCAAAGAGGAGAAGAAGAAGGGAUCGAAUAAAAGUGCAAAAGCAUAAUCACCGGAAACUAUAACCAUCAAACCAUGUGGCACAACCAUGCAUAAGAUUCUAAAAAACUCACAGCCGAAAAUGCAGAACAAUCCAAAGAGGAGAAGAAGAAGUGAUCGAAUAAAAGUGCAAAAGCAUAAUACCCGGAAACGUGGCACAACAAAGGAUUAUUAUUAUUAUUAUUAUUAUUAUUAUUAUUAUUAUUAUUAUUAUUAUUAUUAUUAUUAUGUAGGCUGCCAAGGCGUAGAUCAAACCACAGGAAAUGAGGAAGGCAGAGAGGAAGUUCAGAGGGGUGCUGCAAAUGGUGCAUUUUGGUUCGUUUUUCUUGCGACCCAUUUGAGGAUUUGGAAAGAAGAAGAAUAAGGACACCACCCAGAAAAUGGAAUCGUGUAAUGAGUAUCAUCUCAGGUAGCUCAAGGCAAAAAUAACAAAUACGAGUUAAAUGUGGUCAUGGUAAGCAGGGUGCCUGGCAUGGAACUCAUAUUUCUGAUAUUGUUCAGAGUUUUACGGGACAGUCUAUGAGGGAUUUAUGAGGCCUUUGAAUUGAGAGAUGGGGCAGUUUCUUGCCAUUCAUGACGUUUCUUAUCUCAACUGGAGCAGUUUACCACAAGGCUUUAUUUUCGGGUCAACAUCCUCAGCAUAUCAGUAUGAAGGUGUUGCAAGGGAAGGUGAAAAAAGACCAAGUAUAUGGGAUACUUUCGCUCAUAAAUACCCAGAGUGUAACUCAGUUGACAACAAAGAGUGAACUUGGGGGAGGGGGAGGACCGGAGUUUGAUUUUCGCAUAAUACACAUUCAUGGAGAAGAAGAGAGAAUGUGUACUAGUCCCCAUAGGAACUCAACUAAAGAGCAAAUUUGAGAAGAGUAUCAUCUCAGGUAACUCAAGGCAAAAAUAGCAAAUACGAGUUAAAUGAGUGUGUAUGCAGGCAUCUCAAAAGGGUUUAAUAGGGAUUACCUUGAAUUCUGACUGGUAUGUGCUGGUUUCUAAAGAGAAAUGUUAUCGAGACGCUGCAUGUAGGGGCCUUGACUUCAUGUUUGGAUGGUAUAUGGGCCCACUCAUAAAAGGUGAGUAUUCAAAAACCAUGCGAUCUAUGUUGGGAAACCGGCUACCAGAGUUCUCCAAAGAAGAAGCCAGGCAACUUAAAGGAUCAUUACUGCAACACAAUAUCACUACAAGGAAAAUGACUUAUACCUACAGUCAAAAUCUGUCACUAGAAGUCCAAAAUCCGUAGGUAGAUGUAUAAAGGACUUUGUCAUACAGACGUUUUUUGCGUCAACUUUGAGGGGGUAUACAGUGACAACUAAUAGUCUGUCACUAUAGGCUUUACCUACGGAUAUAUUUUUACCUACAGUCAAAUUUAACUAUCACUAUAGGUAACACCUACUAUUUUAAAUGUGUAGGUAAAAGAUAUUAAUGUAUACCUAUAAUCUCUAACUGUAGGUAAAAGUCAAUUUACUUGUACCUAUGGUCUUCUGUAGGUAAAUGUCAUAUAAUAAUAAAACUAGUUCCUAAUUACAUUA